UACGUAGGGGGCUAGCGUUGUUCGGAUUUACUGGGCGUAAAGCGCACGUAGGCGGAUCGUUAAGUCGGGGGUGAAAUCCCGGGGCUCAACCUCGGAACUGCCUUUGAUACAGCAAGUCUUGAGUUCGAGAGAGGUGGGUGGAAUUCCUAGUGUAGAGGUGAAAUUCGUAGAUAUUAGGAAGAACACCGGUGGCGAAGGCGGGUCUCUGGGCCGUAACUGACGCUGAGGAGCGAAAGCGUGGGGAGCGAACAGG
This 253-nucleotide ribosomal RNA is filed under the name uncultured bacterium. RNAcentral's name for it is "partial 16S ribosomal RNA". It matches the Rfam family "Bacterial small subunit ribosomal RNA", at positions 524 to 776 of the family's 1533-position model. The record is from RNAcentral.